AUUGAACGCUGGCGGCAGGCCUAACACAUGCAAGUCUAGCUGAUGAAGGGAGCUUGCUCCUGUAUUCAGCGUCGCACGGGUGUGUAAUGCCUAGUAAUCUUCCUUGUCGUGGGGGAUCACGUCCGCCCACUGGCGCUAAUACCGCAUUCGUCCUGUGCGAUUAAGUGGGUGAUCUUCGGACCUCCCGCUAUCAGAUGAGCCUAGGUCGGAUUAGCUAGUUGGUGGGGUAACGGCCUACCAAGGCGACGAUCCGUAACUGGUCUGAGAGGAUGAUCAGUCACACUGGAACUGAGAAACGGUCCAGACUCCUACGGGAGGCAGCAGUGGGGAAUAUUGGACAAUGGGCGAAAGCCUGAUCCAGCCAUGCCGCGUGUGUGAAGAAGGGCUUCGGAUUGUAAAGCACUGUAAGUUGGGAGGAAGGGCAGUAAGUUAAUAACUUGCUGUUUUGACGUUACCAACAGAAUAAGCACCGGCUAACUUCGUG
Molecule: ribosomal RNA, 484 nt
Filed under: uncultured bacterium
Lineage: Bacteria
Description: partial 16S ribosomal RNA
Rfam family: Bacterial small subunit ribosomal RNA
Source: RNAcentral